UACGGGGGGGGCAAGCGUUGUUCGGAAUUACUGGGCGUAAAGGGUGCGUAGGCGGUGCGGCAAGUUGGGAGUGAAAUCUCUGGGCUUAACCCAGAGGCUGCUUCCAAAACUGCUGUGCUUGAGUGUGGGAGAGGCGCGUGGAAUUGCAGGUGUAGCGGUGAAAUGCGUAGAUAUCUGCAGGAACACCCGUGGCGAAAGCGGCGCGCUGGACCACUACUGACGCUGAGGAACGAAAGCUAGGGGAGCAAACAGG
Molecule: ribosomal RNA, 253 nt
Filed under: uncultured bacterium
Lineage: Bacteria
Description: partial 16S ribosomal RNA
Rfam family: Bacterial small subunit ribosomal RNA
Source: RNAcentral